This 425-nucleotide ribosomal RNA is filed under the name uncultured cyanobacterium. RNAcentral describes it as "bacterial SSU rRNA". It matches the Rfam family "Bacterial small subunit ribosomal RNA", at positions 357 to 796 of the family's 1533-position model. The record is from RNAcentral. Lineage: Bacteria; Bacillati; Cyanobacteriota.
GGGAAUUUUCCGCAAUGGGCGAAAGCCUGACGGAGCAAUACCGCGUGAGGGAUGACGGCCUAUGGGUUGUAAACCUCUUUUUUCAGGGAGGAAUAAAUGACGUGUACCUGAAGAAUAAGCAUCGGCUAACUCCGUGCCAGCAGCCGCGGUAAGACGGAGGAUGCAAGUGUUAUCCGGAAUCACUGAGCGUAAAGCGUCUGUAGGUGGUUUGAUAAGUCAACUGUUAAAUCUUGAGGCUCAACCUCANAAUCNCANUCGAAACUAUNANACUAGAGUAUAGUAGGGGUAAAGGGAAUUUCCAGUGGAGCGGUGAAAUGCGUAGAUAUUGGAAAGAACACCGAUGGCGAAGGCACUUUACUGGGCUAUUACUAACACUCANAGACGAAAGCUAGGGUAGCANAUGGGAUUAGAUACCCCAGUANUCA